ACUCCUACGGGAGGCAGCAGUAGGGAAUAUUGGGCAAUGGAGGCAACUCUGACCCAGCCACGCCGCGUGCAGGAGGAAGGCGCUCUGCGUUGUAAACUGCUUUAGCAGGGGAAGAAAAAGGCCAUGCGUGGCGAAUUGACGGUACCCUGAGAAUAAGCACCGGCUAACUACGUGCCAGCAGCCGCGGUAAU
RNAcentral lists this ribosomal RNA (191 nucleotides) under uncultured bacterium. RNAcentral describes it as "partial 16S ribosomal RNA". It matches the Rfam family "Bacterial small subunit ribosomal RNA", at positions 335 to 524 of the family's 1533-position model. The record is from RNAcentral.